Molecule: long non-coding RNA, 1231 nt
Organism: Clarias gariepinus (North African catfish)
Lineage: Eukaryota; Metazoa; Chordata; Actinopteri; Siluriformes; Clariidae
Exons: 2
Source: RefSeq, a predicted model, not a curated record
GACGACUUUAACUUUGCUAACCUCUUACCUGGCAGAAAUGUAGUUGUAUUUCCUGAAUGUCAGUGUUGUGCUUUAGUAGUUACUUGUUUUCUACAAGGUGGCUGAAAGUAUGCAUUAAAAAUGGGUGAAAGUCCAUAUUUCUAAUACGUUUACUGAAACAAAUUGUACAUGUACUUUACAUAAGAAAAUGAAAUCAAGUCUUUAUAUUUCAACAUGGGCACCAGUAGCGUCAACCAAUUUCCUCAAAUGGGCAGGAUUGGAAUGCAGGAAGUUGUUUAGGAUAAUGUUCAACCUCCUGAAGCCAUGCCUCCAAGUCCUCAAGUGUGUCCUUCAGCAUUUUCCUAAGAUGUUGGCAGGGACAAUGCAGACCUCAUGAAAGCUUUGCACAUCUUGUACAGGUUGCAGGAAGCUUAGAGCAUGAACUUGGGCAUGGGCAUACACCCAGAAUGGGGUGCCAAUCUAUUGCAGGAUGCAAACAAACACACCAACACACAAUAUGACAAUUUGGAAAUACCAAUUAGCCUAAUCUACGUACAUGACUUUGGAUUGUGGAGAACACUGGAAGACCCUAAGGAGACCUAACCAUCACGGGGAAAACACAUGCACACCAGAGGUGCUACACAUGUCGUUCCUGAGCUGCCAGUGAUCCAGACUCCCUCUGCCCUCAGGACCUAUCUGACCCAUCUUGGUACCCCGUUUCUAGUUGGAGAUCUCGUCACAUGGAUGCCCUGUGUGUUUCUCUGGGAUGCGUCUGGUGUCUGGGGACGGUUUCACUCUACCAUAAAGACAGUUCUGGCCUCAACUGGUGUUGACAGCUGUUUCUCUGAGGACUUGACUUGGCUGUGGUUGCUCAAUAGUUCAAGAUUGCAAUUGUCUCCAAUAACUACCUGGACUCCAUAUUUACAUCAAUUAACAUCAACUAUUAUAGCUGAACUGGCUGCCAUCUAACACACUGUAUAAAUGCAGAUCAAUUUCUUCUCUCUGUUCACCUAAAUGAGGAUGGGUUCCCUGUUGAGUCUGGUUCCUCUCAAGGUUUCUUCCUAUUACCAUCUCGGAGUUUUUCCUUGCCACUGUCGCCCUCGGCUUGCUCACCAGGGACGAUCUGAUAAUUUUGAUUCAUACACACUUACAUUCCAUACAGACUUAAAUAAUAAUUUUGAUUGUGUUAAGCUGCAUUGCUACAAUGACAAUUGUUAAAAGCAAUAUACAAAUAAAAUUUUAUUAAAUUGAA